RNAcentral lists this small RNA (128 nucleotides) under Flavobacterium flevense. Its description in RNAcentral is "Flavo-1 RNA". It matches the Rfam family "Flavo-1 RNA". The record is from RNAcentral. Lineage: Bacteria; Pseudomonadati; Bacteroidota; Flavobacteriia; Flavobacteriales; Flavobacteriaceae.
CUCUAGCCCCGAUAGCAGUGAAAAUCCUUUUUAUUUUUUUCUUUAAAAAAUAAAAAGAUUAUUUCACUUGACUUUCAUUUUAAGCGGAGUUCAAUGAACUUCGUUUGUAACGAAUAGCGGGAAAUAGC